UAUCUGGUUGAUUCUGCCAGUAGUCAUAUGCUUGUCUCAAAGAUUAAGCCAUGCAUGUCUAAGUAUAAGCAAUUUAUACGGUGAAACUGCGAAUGGCUCAUUAAAUCAGUUAUCGUUUAUUUGA
Molecule: non-coding RNA, 124 nt
Filed under: Aspergillus fischeri NRRL 181
Lineage: Eukaryota; Fungi; Ascomycota; Eurotiomycetes; Eurotiales; Aspergillaceae
Description: Neosartorya fischeri NRRL 181 Eukaryotic small subunit ribosomal RNA
Rfam family: Eukaryotic small subunit ribosomal RNA
Source: Rfam by way of RNAcentral